UGGGGAAUUUUGGACAAUGGGCGCAAGCCUGAUCCAGCCAUGCCGCGUGCGGGAAGAAGGCCUUCGGGUUGUAAACCGCUUUUGUCAGGGAAGAAACGGCUCUUACUAAUAUUAGGAGCUAAUGACGGUACCUGAAGAAUAAGCACCGGCUAACUACGUGCCAGCAGCCGCGGUAAUACGUAGGGUGCAAGCGUUAAUCGGAAUUACUGGGCGUAAAGCGUGCGCAGGCGGCUUUGCAAGACAGAUGUGAAAUCCCCGGGCUCAACCUGGGAACUGCAUUUGUGACUGCAUGGCUAGAGUACGGUAGAGGGGGAUGGAAUUCCGCGUGUAGCAGUGAAAUGCGUAGAUAUGCGGAGGAACACCGAUGGCGAAGGCAAUCCCCUGGACCUGUACUGACGCUCAUGCACGAAAGCGUGGGGAGCAAACAGGAUUAGAUACCCCUGUAGUCC
This 449-nucleotide ribosomal RNA is filed under the name uncultured bacterium. RNAcentral describes it as "bacterial SSU rRNA". It matches the Rfam family "Bacterial small subunit ribosomal RNA", at positions 355 to 796 of the family's 1533-position model. The record is from RNAcentral.